UUAACGGAGAGUUUGAUCCUGGCUCAGGACGAACGCUGGCGGCGUGCCUAAUACAUGCAAGUCGAACGAGGAGCAGGGUGCUUGCACCCUGCAGCCGAGUGGCGAACGGGUGAGUAACACGUGACCAACCUGUCCUCGAGUGGGGGACAACCUGGGGAAACCUGGGCUAAUACCGCAUACCGCCCCGCGGUCGGAUGGCUGCGGGAUGAAAGGAGGCCUCUACUUGUAAGCUUCCGCUUGAGGGGGGGGUCGCGGCGUAUCAGCUAGUUGGUGGGGUAACGGCCCACCAAGGCGACGACGCGUAGCGGGUCUGAGAGGACG
RNAcentral lists this ribosomal RNA (321 nucleotides) under Gemmatimonadota bacterium. RNAcentral describes it as "bacterial SSU rRNA". It matches the Rfam family "Bacterial small subunit ribosomal RNA", at positions 1 to 302 of the family's 1533-position model. The record is from RNAcentral. Lineage: Bacteria; Pseudomonadati; Gemmatimonadota.